GUUUUGUUUACACCAAGUUCGGCUGGGGUCUGCUUGUGACAACAUAGAUAAUUUAAAAGAAAAGGAUUUUAUAGUUUGAUAUUAUGGUUCUUGAGGACUUCACCGAAACCGUUAUCAUCUCCAUCGUCGGCAUGGUCUUGUUCAUCACGUUCGGCCUGAUCAUCUACGGGCUCGCUUGUGGGGGGGCAGGACAGAUGUUCGGAGGAGGCGCCGGGGCAGCAGCGGCCAACAGUGCAGCGCAACAGACGGCGCCCGUGCAACAGAUCUCGGCCUUGGGGUGAAUUAAAUGGAAGGUGAAUCUUCGUACAAGAAAGGCAUCAAUACUGCAACACAAGAGCAAUCAAAUCGCAUCUGGCAUUUGCAAUGUUACAUUUCACGUACAUUUUUAUACCUCUCUCUUUUAAGCCGAGAUGUAUAGUUUUAAUGUUAGUGUUCUCAAGUGUACAUCUAUUGUAUUUUUAAUUGUUGUUUUUAAAUUCGGUGUAACAUUUGAGUUGUAAAUUCCAGAAUACGAAAUUAUGUAUAUGA
Penaeus chinensis is the source of this 528-nucleotide long non-coding RNA. RefSeq lists it as uncharacterized. The transcript is spliced from 4 exons. Lineage: Eukaryota; Metazoa; Arthropoda; Malacostraca; Decapoda; Penaeidae. The record is from RefSeq and is a predicted model, not a curated record.